CAGGGUUCUCUAAUUGCCAACAUGAUUCUAGGGAUUAUCAUUUUGAAGAAAAGAUACAGUAUAUUCAAAUAUGCUUCCAUUGCCCUGGUUUCUGUGGGGAUAUUUAUUUGCACUUCCAUGUCAGCAAAGCAGGUGACUUCCCAGUCCAGCUUGAGUGAGAAUGAAGGAUUCCAGGCAUUUACAUGGUGGUUAC
This is a long non-coding RNA of Myotis lucifugus (little brown bat), 193 nucleotides long. RefSeq lists it as uncharacterized. The record is from RefSeq and is a predicted model, not a curated record. Lineage: Eukaryota; Metazoa; Chordata; Mammalia; Chiroptera; Vespertilionidae. The transcript has 3 exons.